CGAACGGGUGAGUAAUGUAUCGGAACGUAUCCAAUAAUGGGGGAUAACGAGUCGAAAGAUUCGCUAAUACCGCAUACGCCCUACGGGGGAAAGCAGGGGAUCUUCGGACCUUGCGUUAAUGGAGCGGCCGAUAUCUGAUUAGCUAGUUGGUGAGGUAAAGGCUCACCAAGGCGACGAUCAGUAGCUGGUCUGAGAGGACGACCAGCCACACUGGAACUGAGACACGGUCCAG
This 232-nucleotide ribosomal RNA is filed under the name uncultured bacterium. RNAcentral's name for it is "partial 16S ribosomal RNA". It matches the Rfam family "Bacterial small subunit ribosomal RNA", at positions 99 to 334 of the family's 1533-position model. The record is from RNAcentral.